UACAGAGGUGGCAAGCGUUGUUCGGAAUUACUGGGCGUAAAGGGCGAGUAGGUGGCCAUCUAAGUCAGACGUGAAAUCCCCCGGCUUAACCUGGGAACUGCGUCUGAUACUGGACGGCCUGAGUAUGGGAGAGGAACGUAGAAUUCCAGGUGUAGCGGUGAAAUGCGUAGAUAUCUGGAGGAAUACCGGUGGCGAAGGCGGCGUUCUGGACCAUUACUGACACUGAAUCGCGAAAGCUAGGGGAGCAAACGGG
Molecule: ribosomal RNA, 253 nt
Filed under: uncultured bacterium
Lineage: Bacteria
Description: partial 16S ribosomal RNA
Rfam family: Bacterial small subunit ribosomal RNA
Source: RNAcentral